Molecule: small RNA, 29 nt
Filed under: Bombyx mori (domestic silkworm)
Lineage: Eukaryota; Metazoa; Arthropoda; Insecta; Lepidoptera; Bombycidae
Description: ovarian small RNA-26178
Source: RNAcentral
UCAUCUGUGAAUUCGAACGUAAACCUCGU